ACGGUCAUACCAUGCUGAAUGUACCGAUUCUCGUUAGCUCACGAAGUAAAGCAUUAUUGGGCGCGGAGUCAGUACUUGGUGGUGGGUGACCACCUGGGAACACCGCAUGCCGUU
This is a non-coding RNA of Caerostris extrusa, 114 nucleotides long. Lineage: Eukaryota; Metazoa; Arthropoda; Arachnida; Araneae; Araneidae. The record is from the annotation of a GenBank genome assembly.